RNAcentral lists this unclassified non-coding RNA (1368 nucleotides) under Hevea brasiliensis (rubber tree). The record is from RNAcentral. Lineage: Eukaryota; Viridiplantae; Streptophyta; Magnoliopsida; Malpighiales; Euphorbiaceae.
ACUGGAAAUUCUGGAAAUCAUAUGUACGAACAUCUGCAGCCAGAUCUAUAACAAUACGCAUGCUUGGGAGACUUGCUGCUUUGCGGGAGCUUUUCAGUGCAAAAAUAGGAAAUUACUUGCCCUCUGAUGUCUCAGGGGAGCUGAUCAAAAGCAAAAGAUUGUGUCAAGUUGAAGAAGAAAUUAAACUUGAGGUGCAAACCCGGUUGGAAAAUGGAAAGAGUGUGGCGGAUCUGGAGGAAGAAGUAGUUAAAACACCUUCAAGCUUGAUGGGUUUAAAUGAUGCGGCAGAUGAGUUCUUUGAUGUCUCUGAGCCACUGGAUUAUGACCAAACAGAAAAUGACUGGUCUUCUGAUUUUGGACUAGAGACAUACUCUCAGGAUGCACGUCAUCCCAAAUUGUCAACUGCUGCAGUUAUCGUGAAGAGACUGCAUGAUCUUGCAGUUCAGAAGAAGGGUUAUGUAGAUCUGCAUGAAAUGGUAAAGGAAGAUGCAUCAUUUUGCCACUACGGAUCCACUCUACCAAAAGAUUCAACUUGUAAUUUGCCUUGCAGUUGGACUGAAACAGAUCCUUCUACUUUUCUUAUUCGUGGAGAGACCUACCUAGAUGAUCGUAAGAAGAUCAAGGCUAAAGGCACCUUGAUGCAAAUGGUGGGCGCGGAUUGGUUGAAGUCUGACAAACGAGAAGAUGAUCUUGGUGGUCGACCUGGGGGAAUUGUUCAGAAAUAUGCAGCAAAGGGGGGUCCAGAAUUCUUCUUCAUUGUGAACAUUCAGGUCCCAGGUUUAACAACAUAUACUCUCGCUCUCUACUAUAUGAUGGAUACCCCUUUAGAGGAUUCACCUUUGCUGGAGAGUUUUGUCAAAGGAGAUGAUGCUUAUAGAAACUCAAGGUUCAAGCUCAUACCAUACAUAUCCAAGGGAUCAUGGAUAGUCAAGCAGAGUGUUGGGAAGAAAGCUUGUCUUAUUGGUCAAGCGCUAGAAAUUAAUUAUUUUCGUGGAAAGAACUACAUAGAGCUUGGUAUCGAUAUUGGCUCAUCUACUGUGGCAAGGGGUGUUGUCAGCCUUGUUGUUGGUUACCUAAACAAUCUAGUCAUUGAGAUGGCCUUUCUUGUCCAGGCCAACACACCCGAAGAACUCCCUGAAUAUCUUCUAGGUACCUGCCGUCUUAACCACCUGGACGUUUCUAAAGCCGUACAAGUGAAGCCUUGAUCUUUGUAUAAUCUCAGUUUAUUUUCUAAACAUUCUAGUGUAUUUUAGGUUAGUCCAUAUGCUUACAGGAAUGUAGGGUUAUUUGCACAGGAAACAUGAAACAUUAAACUGCAAAAACUUUUGUAAAGUGACUAGUGAAUGUCCAAUUCUUUGAUUCAAUCAA